This 468-nucleotide ribosomal RNA is filed under the name uncultured bacterium. RNAcentral's name for it is "partial 16S ribosomal RNA". It matches the Rfam family "Bacterial small subunit ribosomal RNA", at positions 28 to 507 of the family's 1533-position model. The record is from RNAcentral.
GACGAACGCUGGCGGCGUGCUUAACACAUGCAAGUCGAACGGAAAGGCCCUGCUUUUGUGGGGUGCUCGAGUGGCGAACGGGUGAGUAACACGUGAGUAACCUGCCCUUGACUUUGGGAUAACUUCAGGAAACUGGGGCUAAUACCGGAUAGGAGCUCCUGCUGCAUGGUGGGGGUUGGAAAGUUUCGGCGGUUGGGGAUGGACUCGCGGCUUAUCAGCUUGUUGGUGGGGUAGUGGCUUACCAAGGCUUUGACGGGUAGCCGGCCUGAGAGGGUGACCGGCCACAUUGGGACUGAGAUACGGACCAGACUCCUACGGGAGGCAGCAGUGGGGAAUCUUGCACAAUGGGCGGGAGCCUGAUGCAGCAACGCCGCGUGCGGGAUGACGGCCUUCGGGUUGUAAACCGCUUUCGCCUGUGACGAAGCGUGAGUGACGGUAAUGGGUAAAGAAGCACCGGCUAACUACGUG